UUUAAUUACAGCAAACAAAAUAACACAGCAUCGAUAUUUGGAUAACACUUCAGAAGACAAAAUUAAAUUGAAAAAAAAGUAAUACACGCAAGUUGCCGCUAAUUCAGACGUUCCCCGAUGUUAAUGCAAAAAUAGAUGUGUGACUGUGAUCUAGACGGCGAACGAUAGCGGACUUUAGACCGAGCAGUGCCGGCAAUGCAGGAAACGUAAAUAAAAUUAAGUUUUCCUAGACAUCUCUCGUGAAACCAAAUUAACCCCGUACUGCUGCCCGCAACAGGUUCACUGAGCCCGACUCUCUCGCACUCACUGCCGUUACCGCUGCCUGCGCCGCCGCCACGACAACGAUAUUUUUUUCGGCUUGUUUAUAAAUCUUGCUCAUCAGACCCACAAAUUCGUCUACUAUGGCAGUUGUUGAAAAGGUUCAGAAUACGCCCACAGAGCGCAAGGCCAAUCCGCUGAAAUCUUUUAUCACUGGAGGUUUUGGCGGCAUUUGCAAUGUACUCUCCGGGCAUCCUCUUGACACCAUUAAGGUGCGUUUACAAACAAUGCCACGGCCAGCACCUGGGGAGCAGCCCCUGUAUCGCGGCACCUUCGACUGCGCUGCCAAGACCAUACGUAAUGAAGGCGUUCGGGGUCUGUACAAGGGUAUGUCCGCGCCGCUGACGGGGGUGGCGCCCAUAUUCGCCAUGUGCUUUGCCGGCUAUGCACUGGGAAAGAGGCUGCAACAGCGCGGUGAGGAAGCUAAGCUCACGUAUCCUCAAAUCUUUGUUGCCGGCUCGUUCUCCGGCCUAUUCUCCACGUUCAUCAUGGCGCCCGGCGAACGCAUCAAGGUGCUCUUGCAAACACAGGGCAUUGGUCCUGGAGGAGAAAAAAAAUACAAUGGAAUGAUCGAUUGCGCUGUCAAGCUAUAUAAGGAGGGUGGUCUGCGUAGUGUUUUUAAAGGCAGCUGUGCAACGAUGCUCAGAGAUAUGCCUGCCAACGGUCUGUACUUUCUGAGCUAUGAGAUCUUGACAGAUGAGUACAAACGUCGCUUUAACAGGCCCAUUGUGGAUCUAGUGCCGGCUAUAGUUGCAGGAGGACUGGCGGGAAUAUUUUAUUGGAUCGGCGGCAUGCCCGCCGAUGUGCUCAAAAAUCGACUGCAAUCCGCUCCUGAAGGCAAAUUUAAUGGUAUUAGAGAUGUUUUUAAAGAUCUAGCAAAAAAUGAUGGACUUUCGGCUCUCUAUCGUGGCUUUACACCUGUAAUCAUUCGCGCCUUUCCGGCUAAUGCAGCGACCUUCUUCGGAAUUGAGCUAGCCAAUGCUUUCCUUCGUCAAGUUGCUCCUGAUUUUUAAAAUAUCCAAAAUUGAAAAUAUUUAUUGAAGUGAAACAAAUAUCAUUUUAUUUUGUAAAAAAAAAUAUUUCCGUUUGUUGUCUAUUUUGCAGUAAUAGCAGCUGAACAAGCAAGGCUCUGCAAGGCUAAACAACAAAUGCAACGAGUGUCAGAACUUACCCCAGGUGAUGGUGCUGCAGCUGCCACAAUCUUAUCACUAUGGGUAAGAAAACAGAACUAUUUUAACAUUUUUCAAAAAAUAUUUUGCGUUCCUAUUCGGCGGUUGCGGGAAUCGUUGUUUAUGUUCAUCGUUGUCCGUAUCCAUUGGCCAAAGAACAUCGAAGUUUUAACUUACUAGAUAUCAAGAGUUUUGUGGUUUUCACCCAUAAUGUAAUGGUCGCCAAAGUCCAUUCGGCAGAAUGGGAAUUGAAUUAAAAUUCAGCUAAAAAACGAAAAGAAAUUAUCGAGUUGUAGACCCAAAGGACAUAGGUGUAGCUAGUUUCGAAUUUUAAGUCCUUAAACAUAGCUCAUAGCCAUAUCAUUUUAUGGUCCAGGAAUUUAACGAAUUUUUGAAUAUAUUUUGUUUGGCGCAACAUUAAAGCAAUUUACAAAGUUUAUCUUAAAACUAAAAUACAAAAUGUGUGUGUGUUUGUUGUGAUCCGUAUAACAAUUUAUAAAAAAAAAAUAAUCUUAUAGUAUUUAUAGUAGGAAUUUAAUAAAGAUAAUCAUUUUCUUGAUCGAAAGUAAAUUAAAUUGUGACAAUCUUGGGGCUCACCAGGAACCUAUACAAAAUGCUUAAACUCUGCCGCA
Drosophila montana is the source of this 2119-nucleotide RNA transcript. It is a transcript of the gene named carnitine/acylcarnitine carrier protein colt, mitochondrial, with no coding region annotated. The transcript has 8 exons. The record is from RefSeq and is a predicted model, not a curated record. Lineage: Eukaryota; Metazoa; Arthropoda; Insecta; Diptera; Drosophilidae.